GAUGAACGCUAGCGGCAGGCCUAACACAUGCAAGUCGAGGGGUAGCAGGAUUAAGCUUGCUUAAUUGCUGACGACCGGCGCACGGGUGCGUAACGCGUAUGCAACCUACCUUAUACUGGGGUAUAGCCCGGAGAAAUUCGGAUUAAUCCCCCAUAGUACUAAUGAAUCGCAUGGUUUAUUAGUUAAAGCAUUGCGGUAUAAGAUGGGCAUGCGUCCUAUUAGCUAGAUGGUGAGGUAACGGCUCACCAUGGCUACGAUAGGUAGGGGGCCUGGGAGGGUGGUCCCCCACACUGGUACUGAGACACGGACCAGAAUCCUACGGGAGGCAGCAGUGAGGAAUAUUGGUCAAUGGGCGCAAGCCUGAACCAGCCAUGCCGCGUGCAGGAAGAAUGCCCUAUGGGUUGUAAACUGCUUUUAUUUGGGAAUAAACCUCUUUACGUGUAGAGAGCUGAAGGUACCAAAUGAAUAAGCACCGGCUAACUCCGUGCCAGCAGCCGCGGUAA
This 503-nucleotide ribosomal RNA is filed under the name uncultured bacterium. RNAcentral describes it as "partial 16S ribosomal RNA". It matches the Rfam family "Bacterial small subunit ribosomal RNA", at positions 28 to 523 of the family's 1533-position model. The record is from RNAcentral.